Molecule: ribosomal RNA, 85 nt
Filed under: Harpyionycteris whiteheadi
Lineage: Eukaryota; Metazoa; Chordata; Mammalia; Chiroptera; Pteropodidae
Description: partial 16S ribosomal RNA
Source: RNAcentral
ACAAAUGCUAGCCCAAACAACAAAAAAAAUAAAACUACAACACUAAAAUAAGAUAAAACAUUUGAAAUUAAAAAGUAUAGGAGAU